Molecule: ribosomal RNA, 253 nt
Filed under: uncultured bacterium
Lineage: Bacteria
Description: partial 16S ribosomal RNA
Rfam family: Bacterial small subunit ribosomal RNA
Source: RNAcentral
UACAGAGGCCUCGAGCGUUAGGCGGAAUCACUGGGCUUAAAGCGUGUGUAGGUGGAUGCCUAAGUACCUUGUGAAAUCCCACAGCUUAACUGUGGAAUUGCUUGGUAUACUGGGUGUCUUGAGCCACUCAGGGGCUACUGGAACAAACGGUGGAGCGGUGAAAUGCGUAGAUAUCGUUUGGAACGCCAAUGGUGAAAACAAGUAGCUGGGGGUGUGCUGACACUGAGACACGAAAGCCAGGGGAGCAAACGGG